AUGAUACUUACAUUUGANNNGUGAGUGGCGAACUGGUGAGUAACACGUGGGAAACCUGCCCAGAAGCGGGGGAUAACACCUGGAAACAGAUGCUAAUACCGCAUAACAACUUGGACCGCAUGGUCCGAGUUUGAAAGAUGGCUUCGGCUAUCACUUUUGGAUGGUCCCGCGGCGUAUUAGCUAGAUGGUGGGGUAACGGCUCACCAUGGCAAUGAUACGUAGCCGACCUGAGAGGGUAAUCGGCCACAUUGGGACUGAGACACGGCCCAAACUCCUACGGGAGGCAGCAGUAGGGAAUCUUCCACAAUGGACGAAAGUCUGAUGGAGCAACGCCGCGUGAGUGAAGAAGGGUUUCGGCUCGUAAAACUCUGUUGUUAAAGAAGAACAUAUCUGAGAGUAACUGUUCAGGUAUUGACGGUAUUUAACCAGAAAGCCACGGCUAACUACGUGCCAGCAGCCGCGGUAAUACGUAGGUGGCAAGCGUUGUCCGGAUUUAUUGGGCGUAAAGCGAGCGCAGGCGGUUUUUUAAGUCUGAUGUGAAAGCCUUCGGCUCAACCGAAGAAGUGCAUCGGAAACUGGGAAACUUGAGUGCAGAAGAGGACAGUGGAACUCCAUGUGUAGCGGUGAAAUGCGUAGAUAUAUGGAAGAACACCAGUGGCGAAGGCGGCUGUCUGGUCUGUAACUGACGCUGAGGCUCGAAAGUAUGGGUAGCAAACAGGAUUAGAUACCCUGGUAGUCCAUACCGUAAACGAUGAAUGCUAAGUGUUGGAGGGUUUCCGCCCUUCAGUGCUGCAGCUAACGCAUUAAGCAUUCCGCCUGGGGAGUACGGCCGCAAGGCUGAAACUCAAAGGAAUUGACGGGGGCCCGCACAAGCGGUGGAGCAUGUGGUUUAAUUCGAAGCUACGCGAAGAACCUUACCAGGUCUUGACAUACUAUGCAAAUCUAAGAGAUUAGACGUUCCCUUCGGGGACAUGGAUACAGGUGGUGCAUGGUUGUCGUCAGCUCGUGUCGUGAGAUGUUGGGUUAAGUCCCGCAACGAGCGCAACCCUUAUUAUCAGUUGCCAGCAUUAAGUUGGGCACUCUGGUGAGACUGCCGGUGACAAACCGGAGGAAGGUGGGGAUGACGUCAAAUCAUCAUGCCCCUUAUGACCUGGGCUACACACGUGCUACAAUGGAUGGUACAACGAGUUGCGAACUCGCGAGAGUAAGCUAAUCUCUUAAAGCCAUUCUCAGUUCGGAUUGUAGGCUGCAACUCGCCUACAUGAAGUCGGAAUCGCUAGUAAUCGCGGAUCAGC
This 1295-nucleotide ribosomal RNA is filed under the name Lactiplantibacillus plantarum. RNAcentral's name for it is "bacterial SSU rRNA". It matches the Rfam family "Bacterial small subunit ribosomal RNA", at positions 72 to 1353 of the family's 1533-position model. Lineage: Bacteria; Bacillati; Bacillota; Bacilli; Lactobacillales; Lactobacillaceae. The record is from RNAcentral.